UGUUGGAUUGUUCACCCACC
RNAcentral lists this small nuclear RNA (20 nucleotides) under Arabidopsis thaliana (thale cress). Its description in RNAcentral is "snRNA_05982". Lineage: Eukaryota; Viridiplantae; Streptophyta; Magnoliopsida; Brassicales; Brassicaceae. The record is from RNAcentral.